AUAAAGGCUCAACAAGCAACAACC
RNAcentral lists this non-coding RNA (24 nucleotides) under Arabidopsis thaliana (thale cress). Lineage: Eukaryota; Viridiplantae; Streptophyta; Magnoliopsida; Brassicales; Brassicaceae. The record is from RNAcentral.